RNAcentral lists this ribosomal RNA (489 nucleotides) under uncultured bacterium. RNAcentral's name for it is "partial 16S ribosomal RNA". It matches the Rfam family "Bacterial small subunit ribosomal RNA", at positions 899 to 1397 of the family's 1533-position model. The record is from RNAcentral.
ACUCAAAGGAAUUGACGGGGGCCCGCACAAGCAGCGGAGCGUGUGGUUUAAUUCGAUGCAACGCGAAGAACCUCACCUAGGCUUGACAUGGCUGAAGUAGAACCCUGAAAGGGGAACGACCCGUAAAGUCGGGAGCAGUCACAGGUGCUGCAUGGCUGUCGUCAGCUCGUGCCGUGAGGUGUUGGGUUAAGUCCCGCAACGAGCGCAACCCUCGGCGUUAGUUACCAUGUCUAACGCGACCGCCGGUUUCAAACCGGAGGAAGGUGGGGAUGACGUCAAGUCAGCACGGCCCUUACGCCUAGGGCUACACACACGCUACAAUGGCCGGUACAACGGGACGCCAAAGGGUGACCUGGAGCAAAUCCCAUCAAAACCGGUCUCAGUUGGGAUUGGAGGCUGCAACUCGCCUCCAUGAACGCGGAGUUGCUAGUAACCGCAGGUCAGCACACUGCGGUGAAUACGUUCCCGGGCCUUGUACACACCGCCCGU